Long non-coding RNA from Chiroxiphia lanceolata (lance-tailed manakin), 704 nucleotides. RefSeq lists it as uncharacterized. The transcript is spliced from 3 exons. The record is from RefSeq and is a predicted model, not a curated record. Lineage: Eukaryota; Metazoa; Chordata; Aves; Passeriformes; Pipridae.
UUUUGCAACAGCGAGAUGGGAAGCUCAGAAGGGAAGCUUACCCAAGACUGACUCUUGUGGUAACUGUCCCUAUGGUGACCUGCGGAGGGGUACAGGAGUUUCGGAAGGCACUGUCCCACCGCUGUGGCCCUCCCCCCGCCCGCUGAACUGGCUAACACGAAGGGGGGGGGGUGAGGGGAAGAAGAGCUAGUUGUUUUGGUCCGUGUACUCUGGGCCUGUUCCAGGCUCGCAGUCCAUGAACAUUCCUGCCCUCUGUGCCCUGAUUCAGUUCGGGGGGCUGUGGCAAAACCGCUGUUUUGCUUUCAAUGUGACCUAACAAUGUAUCAGAAGUUGACUGUUUGCAGAAAGUCUUAUUUCAGCAGACAGACUUGGAAACUGUGCCACCAGAACUGAGACUGAAAGUGGAAACAACUUUUAUGCAGAAGCAAACAAAUAAUGGAACAUGCCUUAACAACUGCAAGUCAGACACAUCAAGACAAAAGGAUUUGGACUGUAACAAGAAUUCCUAAGAUAGUAAGCCUGUUCUGGUUUAUCCAGUUGCUUGUGUGGGGUAUUAACUGCAGUUUGUAAGGGGCUACUGAAAUGGUCAGUCUCCUGAAGAUAAUCUCAAAAAAUUUCUUCUGCUUGAAGAGUGAUCUUCUCAGACAGUGGAGAGAGAAAAGAAAGGGAAGAAAAGGAAGAAGUCAUCCUGUACCUAAUUUUAA